AAGAUGAAAAACCCCCGGGAAGCUCUCUUUGCCUUCCAGGUGUCCUGCAGCUGGUGCAGAAAACCAAUGUGGCCAAUCCUACACAGCUGCUGAAGAAACCUCCAUUGUAAAACAGCCACCAAGCCCAGCAGGGACCAAGUGACCAUCUGCAGCUCCCAGGUAAUUUAUGAACAAAAUACAGCAGAGGUCACUAAGGUUCUGGUCGGAGUUAUGGACACUGUUGGCUGCAGCCAUGAUUUGAAAGUUCAGGUGUGUACAGCUCUGAGACCACUCUGCCAGAACAUGGGGAGCAGCAUGUAUUGAGCUCAGGAAAAUUGAAGGAGAGACUGGAGACCUGUGCGUGUGUGGAUAUCUUUUAAUAUGAACUGAGUGUAGGCUGAGAAUUACAUUUCUGAUCAGCAUGGCAGAUUUCUUUUCCCUGUUCCUCACUGAGCCCACCCAGGAUCUAAGAAAGGAAUGACAGAGUAGUCCCUGAUAGACAGAAAACUCAGUGUUACCAGGUAUCAACCAGUUUCUGCUGAAUUGUGCCAGAAAAUAUGGUAAGUUUAUAAUAUUUUUAUUCUAAACAAUUCGCUACACUACAAUAACUUUUAAAUUCAUGUUUAUUAACGUACCCUCUCGUAGCCACUUAUCAGAAUUGUGUCAGAAUUUUGUAAAUGGAAGCCACACUCCCCCACACUCCCUGUAAAUAGUAUUAUUAACAUGUGUUUGUAGAAUCAGACUACCAAGAAUGAUCUUGGGUU
Non-coding RNA from Lonchura striata (white-rumped munia), 743 nucleotides. Lineage: Eukaryota; Metazoa; Chordata; Aves; Passeriformes; Estrildidae. The record is from RefSeq and is a predicted model, not a curated record.